CCUACGAGAGGCUGCAGUGAGGAAUAUUGGUCAAUGGGCGGAAGCCUGAACCAGCCAAGUAGCGUGCAGGAUGACGGCCCUACGGGUUGUAAACUGCUUUUAUACGGGAAUAACGCGCCUUACGUGUAGGGCUUUGCAUGUACCGUAUGAAUAAGGACCGGCUAAUUCCGUGCCAGCAGAGGCGGUAAUACGGAAGGUACGGGCGUUACCCGGAUUUAUUGGGUUUAAAGGGAGCGUAGGACGCCUGUGAAGCGUUCUGGGAAAUGUACGGGCGCAACCCGGGCCUUGCAGCGCGAACUGGCGUGCUUGAGCCCUCGAAAAGCAGGCGGAAUU
RNAcentral lists this ribosomal RNA (333 nucleotides) under uncultured bacterium. RNAcentral's name for it is "partial 16S ribosomal RNA". It matches the Rfam family "Bacterial small subunit ribosomal RNA", at positions 338 to 668 of the family's 1533-position model. The record is from RNAcentral.